UGAUUCUACGAAAGUCAGGUUGACGGC
This 27-nucleotide small RNA is filed under the name Bombyx mori (domestic silkworm). Its description in RNAcentral is "ovarian small RNA-2220". The record is from RNAcentral. Lineage: Eukaryota; Metazoa; Arthropoda; Insecta; Lepidoptera; Bombycidae.